RNAcentral lists this ribosomal RNA (528 nucleotides) under uncultured bacterium. RNAcentral describes it as "bacterial SSU rRNA". It matches the Rfam family "Bacterial small subunit ribosomal RNA", at positions 777 to 1304 of the family's 1533-position model. The record is from RNAcentral.
AAUAGAUACCCUGGUAGUCCAUGCCGUAAACGUUGGGAACUAGAUGUAGGGACCAUUCCACGGUUUCUGUGUCGCAGCUAACGCAUUAAGUUCCCCGCCUGGGGAGUACGGCCGCAAGGCUAAAACUCAAAGGAAUUGACGGGGGCCCGCACAAGCGGCGGAGCAUGCGGAUUAAUUCGAGGCAACGCGAAGAACCUUACCAAGGCUUGACAUAUACGAGAACGCCCUAGAAAUAGGGAACUCUUUGGACACUCGUAUACAGGUGGUGCAUGGUUGUCGUCAGCUCGUGUCGUGAGAUGUUGGGUUAAGUCCCGCAACGAGCGCAACCCUCGUUCUAUGUUGCCAGCACGUCAUGGUGGGAACUCAUAGGAGACUGCCGGGGUCAACUCGGAGGAAGGUGGGGAUGACGUCAAAUCAUCAUGCCCCUUAUGUCUUGGGCUUCACGCAUGCUACAAUGGCCGGUACAAAGGGCUGCAAUACCGCAAGGUGGAGCGAAUCCCAAAAGCCGGUCUCAGUUCGGAUUGAGGU